GAUGAACGCUGGCGGCGUGCCUAAUACAUGCAAGUCGAGCGAACAGACGAGGAGCUUGCUCCUCUGACGUUAGCGGCGGACGGGUGAGUAACACGUGGAUAACCUACCUAUAAGACUGGGAUAACUUCGGGAAACCGGAGCUAAUACCGGAUAAUAUAUUGAACCGCAUGGUUCAAUAGUGAAAGACGGUUUUGCUGUCACUUAUAGAUGGAUCCGCGCCGCAUUAGCUAGUUGGUAAGGUAACGGCUUACCAAGGCGACGAUGCGUAGCCGACCUGAGAGGGUGAUCGGCCACACUGGAACUGAAACACGGUCCAGACUCCUAAGGGAGGCAGCAGUAGGGAAUCUUCCGCAAUGGGCGAAAGCCUGACGGAGCAACGCCGCGUGAGUGAUGAAGGUCUUCGGAUCGUAAAACUCUGUUAUUAGGGAAGAACAAAUGUGUAAGUAACUAUGCACGUCUUGACGGUACCUAAUCAGAAAGCCACGGCUAACUACGUG
Molecule: ribosomal RNA, 497 nt
Filed under: uncultured bacterium
Lineage: Bacteria
Description: partial 16S ribosomal RNA
Rfam family: Bacterial small subunit ribosomal RNA
Source: RNAcentral